This 268-nucleotide long non-coding RNA is filed under the name Zostera marina. RNAcentral's name for it is "long non-coding RNA (ZMAR_LNC002375)". Lineage: Eukaryota; Viridiplantae; Streptophyta; Magnoliopsida; Alismatales; Zosteraceae. The record is from RNAcentral.
UGAAAUUGGGUUGUUUCAUACACAUUCACAGAGGAAGAUUAUAAGGCAUAAGAACGACUGGCCAUGUGCUAUGAGAAACUGACAUCAUACUAAAUGGAUUAAAUCCAUCGCUUGCAAGUCCCAAUCUGAUAUUACGUGGUUCAGACGAAAAAUCGGGAUAUCGAUCGUCAAAUUGUGUCCAUUGAAAUGAAUCUGCCGGAUGACGAAGAAUUCCAUCUUUUUUCCGAUCAUUUUUAUGCCAAGUCAUUCCUUUAGAAAUAUCGUUACG